This 7600-nucleotide small RNA is filed under the name Rattus norvegicus (Norway rat). Its description in RNAcentral is "uncharacterized LOC102548345". Lineage: Eukaryota; Metazoa; Chordata; Mammalia; Rodentia; Muridae. The record is from RNAcentral.
GAAGCUGAACAACACAGGCAAUACCACGACUACCACCACCAUAACACAAAUCUACAAUCCCCUCCAAUGAACAUUGUUUACUUAGAGCUACUCUUAUUUUGACACUACCACUGUCUUAGUCACCUAGAGCCAAACCCUCACUCUGAUUGUCCUUCCCGUACGUGGUUAGUGUCCAAUUCUCAUCCAUCCACUAAUACAUGUUCCUAAUCACCACACAGGCCUGGCCAAGCAGAGGCUGUACCCAUUUGUCCACAGUGAUUUACCUGAGAACUUAGCACGUGAGUCAGAGAAAAUCAGUCUGAGGUCUUCGUUGAUUUUGUAUAUGCACCAUGAAAGGAAGGCCUCUCCAUCUUUAGAUCUUACACUAUAAACUAUGCUUAAGGGUAAGUACCUUUUCCUCUUUGUAACAUGUGUCUAUAGGGAGAGAGAAUCAAUCUGCAAGAAAAAGGAAGCAGAAACUAAGAGCAAAUGAAUGGAGAGAGUUCUGACCUUGUUUGUGUCUCCUGAAUCCGCCAUGCCUGAAGUCUGCUCUAAGAUCGUCUAACUCAUAAGGGGACAUGUUGGUUGGGUUCUGUCAAACCUAGACAUAUCUGGGAAGAGGGAUUCUUAACUGAGAAAAUUCAUCCAUAAGAUUUACCUGUGGGCACAUCUCUGGGACAUUUUCUUCAUUAAUGCUUGAUGUGAGAGGGCCCAACUCAUGGAAGGGGGUGCCACCCUGAGUAGAAUAAGAAACCCGUUUGUAUAAGAAACCAGGCUGAACAAGCUAGAAGGAACAAGCCAGCAAGCAACAUUCUUCCAUGACCUCUGUGUCAAAUCCUGCCUCCAGGUUCCUGCCUCGAGUUCUUGCUUUGACUUCUCUCAGUAAUGGACUUGGAUGGGGAACUUCAAGCUGAAGUAAAUGCUUUCUUCCCUAAGUUGCUUUGGUUCAUGGUGUUUUAUCACAGCAGUGGAAAACCAACUAAGACAGGCCAAGAGAGUAUCCUCCCCUAACCCAGUCUGAAUCUGGCUUCUUUCCCUUGCACUAAGAUGUCUUCGCUGUCCCUCUACCAGAGAGCAAUGUCAUGUACUCACUCAUGUGCACUCUAGGAGUCCUCUCCACAGAAGUCUUACGAUCAGAGACACCCAGUCAGUGUGUUGCCCUAGACUCCUGGCUUGGCCUCGAGGUGCAGGAUAUAUCCUAACUCUGUGUAAUGAGGAGAAGGGAAAGUGACCUCUGAGGUGGCUGAAACAGAAAGGAAAGUCAGGCGUUAGGAAACUGCAGGGUGACAGCACCUCCGAGCAGGGUGACAGAGAUUUGUUCGUUGAUUGGGAGGACGCUUUAACAAUGGAAGGGAAAGCAAGACAGCGGUUCAGCUGGGUUCUGGGGAGCAGGGGUUGUGCACCUGCAAACCCAUUUAGACAUCAGCCUCACAUUUCCUCGCUGAUUACUUUGUCCUUGUUAAUAGCCGCUGAGAUUUCAUUUUCCCCUCCACCAGUCCUAAUUGCUCGACAUAACAGUAGGCAUCGUGGGAGCCACAAAGAUGAAUAAUACCCAGACGCGGCCCUCGCUUCUUAAAUACCUAUUACAGGAGCAGCCAAGGUAACUUCCUGAGGAUAAACUUGGUGCUGGGGAGAAAACAAAAAAACAACAAAAAAUCCCACCAUCGCGUUAUGUAAGUUUCUAUUUUAAAAUCAUCUGGUUCUAAUUUGCUAACGUUUAACGCUUUCUAGCUAAUGCCAAAAGCGCUACGUUUGAUUUAUGGAAAUACUUCAGCACAUUUUUCCAUCGCGGCCUUGUACAAUAUAGUUACCACCCCCUUUUGUUAUGGUUAGAAAGAUUACGGGCCUUAAAACAGCCUCCUUUAUGAGCUCGCCGAUAUUUUAUCAUAAAAUUCCGUAAGCUGGAGUGAAGUAGUGUAGCAGCAGUAUUUGGAGACCAUUCCACAGGGUUCAACUUUAUUUUCCUUUUUUUCCUAUUUAACAAAAUGCUCCAUCUGGAAAGUGGAUGCUCAAAAACUUUCACUAUGCGGAACCACUUCUUUUCAUGGCAGACAGUAUUUUUUUUUUUCUUUCUUUCUUUGGGGAUGGUGGUGGCCGGGGCAGGGGUAGAUGUUUAGACACGUGUCACACCAAGCUACACUGUGGUCCAAAUAAUAGCAUCAACACCAAAGGGUAAAAGCUCGCACCGGCCCAGACUUCCUAUACGCCAUAGAGCGAGCCCUCAGAACAUUGCAGGCAAAUGGAGUGAACGUCAGAAAACCUUAUAGGUACUGUUGGUGUCUGGGGUUCAGGAGGUCAUGGCAGAGUGUGGCUCAGGCUGAUGGGACCUUAGGCUGAUGUGCAUGCUCCAAGACAGGGACCUAUAGUUCCAGAGAGAGGCAAAGGCAGACCUACUCAGGCUCCAGGAAUGAAAUGUAUUGAUCUAUUUUGUGAUGCUAGGGAUUGAAUCCUGGGCUUUAUGUUUGCUAGAUAACUCAACCACUGAGCCACAUCCUUAGUCCUUCAAUAAGUUAUAUACAGACACACACAGAUAUAAUAUAGACACAUAAUAUAUUCACUUGUAUUUAUAAUAUAGACACAAAUAAAUAUGUUAUAUAUACACAUAUAACAAAUACAACACACACACACACACACACACACACACAACACAUACUCAUUUUCAGGUGCUAUAAACUUUGGGCCUCAAGCAGUUCUCUAUCCCUGAACUCUGUUCCCAGCAGGAUUGGGCCACUUUUUAGUUCUUCUAGUCUUAAGUUUAGCCAUAUGACUCAGCAUGGUCAUUUGUUAACCACCUCAAGACACUGUACAGAACAAUCAAGGACUUCGAAGCACAUUUUGGCCUAAGCCUUUCUGACGACGUGCAGGGUCCAGUUGAGGAAGCCAUUCUUAAAGGUCACUGGACUCAGUGUGCUCUUUCGGUUUCUCUUCUCUGCAGGAAGUCAGGGUUUUCACUUCACACCCACAAAAACCAAGAUGGCUGCCCAGGAAACUGCCCCUGCUCUGCCUGGCUCAUGUAGCCCUUUAAAACGAAGAGGUUUUGUUUCUUCUCAAGCAGAGUUCAGGCAGCUCUUUGCAGUGACAACCUCCAAAAGGCAUGGGGCUUUGCCAUGAUUUGUGGUAUCAAGAAAUAGGAAUCUACUUACGUGGCAUUGUAUCUUUGGCGCAAACUUAGAGAAGUCUCCCGCUCCCAAUGGACAGCAUACAUCUAUGGAAUGAUAGCCACACUUAACUACCUAAAACAAACAAGUGGACACGACCAGCACAGCUGAGAUCUUGAAGGAACCUACUCAUCUUAUAGGCCUCCGAUGACGUAGCUCUGAGGUAAGGAAACAGUGGGGUAUUUAACUUCAGCAGGGGUAGACUACGAGAGACACUUUUCCCGAGUAUCAUGUCUGUGUGCAGCAGGACUCCAGGGAACAGGCCUUCAAAGUUGCCAACCAUCUUCAUGAUCAUGUAAUCAACAAGGCACUGGGAUGGAGACCAUUCACCCUUCAGGUUGCUGACCUCACUAUGAUUUACAUCACUAGAGAUGCUUCAGAACCCGAAGGAGGAAGGCAAUACUUUAAGCAGGAGGCAGAGAAAUUAGAAGACCAGAGAAGGGAAUGGGUGAGAAUCAGGGUGGGAGGUUGGGUGUUCUAAACAAAGAUGGCAACACAAAGGCUAGCUGUGGAUAAAUGGCACCAGAGCAUUGCUUCAAUGGGCACAAGAUUUCAGAUUCCUUUACUCAUGUGUUUUCCCUGCUUCAGAAGGGUGGGGAAACCCACUCAGCUCGAGUAAGUCCAUCUCUGCUACAGAAGGCUUUGGGACCAUGGUUGGGGAUGGUCUUAGCAGUGACCAGCUUUAGGUAGAGUCUGUUUACUUCUUGGAGGGCAAUGCAUGAAGAGAGGAGGAGAAGGUGCAUGCUCAGAGUUCCACAGUUGAAUCUACAGAAGGGGGGGCAUUCUAAGAGUGAAUCAAUCAAUGUAAGUCUUGAAAGAGUGAAGGUGAAAAGGCCUUAGCCUUGUUAGGCAGGGUGAUUCAUGGACCUAAUCACGGUGCAUGGCACACUAAGGCAGGAGGAGGUGAAUUGUAUGAUAACUGACUUGUUAGUGAGUCCACCCCUCCGGUCUCUGUGGAAAGCAGAGUCAUUGUUGUGCCGCAAUAGUUACAGGUGGCCGGGGCUGAAGCCCAGCUCACCAAGGACACUUUAGUCUUUAUCCUAGAGUCUGGUCUCCCUGGCUUCCACCGCUCUCGCCUCCCCCGUGUCACCCAGCCAUUUCUGCAGCUGUUGUUGGUAAGGGGGAUGAUAAACACACGCAUAGUUGAAGAAUGACUAGAUCACGUAGUUCUGCAUUCGUGCCGCUGCUCUGUAAACUGGGCUGGAGUAUUGAGAAACAGCCACGAGCCGCAGGACACAUCUUUGCCCUUGGUUCGUAUAUAUUGAUAUAUUUUCCCAAGCUCCUCCUUGGUGGUCCCAGGACAGUAGUCCUUUCACAGGGCUGCCCAUGGCUGAGCUAGCCUGCCAAGCCAAUGACUCCUCCCUCUCUGCUUUCUCCCUUGGAUUCCCACCCUAGGGGUAGGGGUGGGGGUGAGAGUGGGGGAGUUUGCCUUUCUUUUGUCUAAGGUGAAAAGUCAGGGUUUCCACAUCUCAAAGGAGAACUUAUUACGUGGUGAAAACAAGUUAAUCCUGCUCUUCGCCUCCAUUGAUAAAUCUUUUUACUUUUAAAAGAUGGCGUCUCAUAGAUAUCAGGCUAACCUCAGACACGCUGUGUUUAGUAUUGAUCCUCCGGCCUUCCCAAUCUCCGCUGGUCUGUGCCACCAAGCCAUUCUUCAAUCUCAUGCUUCUUUCGCCUGUCAGUGUUUCUUCUAGGAAAAGACAGACUGAGUGGAAGACACAAUGCCAUAGGCUCCAUGCUCUCAAAACCUCCAGAAACCUCAACAAAACAACUGUUUCCUCCUCUUGCUUUACUUGGGCUGUGUCAUGUCUCUUACUAUGUGCACAUCUGCAUUGGUCCUGGUUUGCAAUGAGGGUUUCUUCUCUCAUUGGACUAGGCAAGCUGUGCCUGAUGAAUUUACUUCAAGGUCAUUAACUAGAGAAAGACAGAGUCCCAUUUUUCACAAAUAGCAGUGGGCACGUCUUUCUUUCCUCCCUAACAUCAGGUUGAUUGGUUUCUUGCGGCCUUCUCCACUGUCCUUGGCUUACACAGCCCCUAGAAAUAUGUGACCAAGGUUCAGAGCCAAAAAAGUGAGACUACAGAGGAUUCUCUGUGUUCAAGAAAGAAUAGCUGGGAGCUGCCCUGGGAGGUCCUCUUCCUGUUACUGGCUUCAUUCUGGUCAUACUUCAAUGCACACUCCCUCAAGGGGGCAAAGAACACUGUUCAUCCCAUACACACAUUGGAUUGGUUUAACUCCUCCUAGUCCCUUGUAACUGCCUGCUCUCUUUUCCCUUCUCUCCAGGUUCAACUAAUUGCUUCUCUCUGGACCCCGAAACCAUUGGCCUGUGCAUGCCUGAGCCUGCCUCCUCCAGCAGCAGCAAGGUCUAGGGAGUGUUGGUCACUAGGCUCUAUUUCUUUUUAUAGAUUAUUAGCAGAUCUUCAAAGCAACCAUGGGCUUUGUGUUAGCCAAUGGGAAGAAGAAGAGUGUGUCUUUUUAACUGUUGCCUCGUUAACCUGGUUCCUUGAAGGUAAACAAGGAUAAAGUAGAGAUAUGUUAGGACCCUUGUAAUAUUGAGAAUCACAUAGGUAUAUGAUUACCUACAUCCAUAUUUUUGCAUAUUUAAACCUAGUAGAUGUAUUUUUGUUGUUUGAUCUGACUUUUUCUUUUUUUUAAAUUUUUUGAGAUAGUCCUUAGGCUAACCUCAAAAUUGCUAGAUAGUUGAGGAAUGUUUCAAAUUUCUGAUGCUAGUAUUCUAAGUGAGAGCCACCAUACCCAGACCUAACAGAUACAUUCUUGAAAAUUAUAUUUAUAUAUAUACACAUAUAUAUAUACACACACAUACAUACACACACAUAUAUAUGUAAAUGUAUACACACACAUAUUAAAAAACAGGGUUGUAAAUAAAUAGUGCCUCUCUCUGCUUAGCUUUUACCAAAACAAGUCCAUACCAAGGGAUCGAGUUUGCUUAUGGAGAGGGCAGUCUAGAUCGUGACAAAUGCCAUACACACGCACACACAAUGAGUGCCUCGGAGGCCAAGGCUUGUGACCGUAUCUCUGCCGACUCCCUCAUAAUGUUCAUUACACGGUCCCACCCUGGGCUGAACUCCAUGCUCCCUUUCCAGCUGGCAGAGUUCAUCCUGUUAGUAGUGACUCAGUAUGACUUCAUUUAUUUCAAGGCUUUGAGUCAAUAGCAAGACCCACAUUCCCCAAGGCAUUAUUUGCACAACUGGAGGCAGAAAUGAACACCCAGUAACACGGAGGGCACCUGUAUCCUUAGAGAAUCACCUGGUCUGGGCUUGCUCUUUGGGUAACACCUCUAUCCACCCAAACAGCCUCCUUUCCACACGGGCCAGGAUGAACAAACAAGAAUCUGAAGUGCUCUGUGUUCUUUUGUGUGUGACUGGGUCUUUCCUCUCUAGAACUUUCCGAGUUGCCCGCACAAAGGGCCCUUCCCUAUCCAGAGUUGCUAUACCCCUUUCUCAUGGUGCCACUUAGCCAAAUGCUACGAUGAGAAAACUGUGGGCUCUUUUGUCUGUGUUCUUUGUUUCAGAGCAAAACCAAACUGUUGUAUUGAGAGCCAGUUGCAAGAGUCCCUCUCAGCAUGAAGCCCAGGAACCAGCUUAGAACUGAAGUCAUUGUUUGCUCUGAGCGUCACUGAAACACUUCAAGUUUGCACGUAUUCUCAUCUCAAAGUUUUACGGGAGUAAUAAAGGUGGUUUAUUACCACAGAUAUGCUUUCAGACUGAUAAUAUGGCCCCUGAUCCAUCUGACCCUGUGGACGGGGAGUGUCCCUACAUCUGUUCUGUAGGGUCACCCAGGCUGUGCCCUUAGAUUCUUACUCAGACUUGGAAACGAUGCCCCAGUCACGAGUCACACAUCAGCCCUUGGUACAAGGUUAAUGCAGCGGGGAUCACAAACUCUGGGUCCUUCCAACAGGCAAGGGUGUGACAUUAUGGCUAAACCUCACUUUAUUGCAGCCGUCUACAGUGCUUCCUGCUCUCCAGGAGGAUGAAUGCCUGGGAGUUCCCCCUGAAAAGUUCCGUGAUCCAUGCCUCAGUCCAUGUGCCCCUUGAGCCCGCUGUGUUUAAAGAACCAUCCUCCAAGUAGGUAGCGCUGAGCUGAGCACGGCCCAUUGCAGCAUAGGGAGAACCACAGCACAUCUGUCCAGACGGGCAGACCCCAUGCUUCCCGAACAUCAAAUGCCAGCGAGAAUGUAGAAGACAAAGGGGUCUUUGUGCAUGGUUGGAUGGAAGGAAACGGGUGUCGCCAUUAUGAAAAAAAAAUGGUAUGCAGAUGCUUCAAAAAAUUGAAAACAGAGUUAGCAUAUGAUAGAGUAAUCCUACUACUGGAUAUCUGUCCAAAGGAAGUGAACUUAGCAUGUCAAAAGUUAUCUGUAUCCUCCUUGUCCCUGCUGCACUGUUGGCAACAGAAAGAUCUGGAAACAACUGGUAUAUUUGCUGAUAAAUGACGUGACGAGGAAUACACA